ACGUCCCAAUGGUUAAUGGCUUCUACUUUUGCCCGAGAGGAGAGCUUUUACCUUUAACUAUGAAGAAAGCUAAAUAAUAAUCCAGAGAAAAAUUCAUGAAAUAUGAUGCAUCGAAACUCAGUAAACUAAGAUUACGAUUGCUCGAUCUUUAUAUCGCAAUUGCUGAUGUAAAUUUUUCGCUAUAAUACGAUAAAUAACCGCGUUUGAUACGAGGAUUUGUAUCUGUGAGAAAAAAGGCACCGCGAGUACGGAAAUAUUGAAGAGGAAUAAGGCGGCGGCCCCCGAGGACGCAGACCCGACAACGAUAAUACGUCGAUUCUUCCUCUUGGAGCAGCCCAGAUGCGAGAGAUCUUGACACCCUGGAGGAUAACGACAAACGAUAAUUGCACUAGGUGACAUGCCUAGCGGUCGUGACUCGGAAAGGAAUGGACGUUACAAGUCGAGAAGGCGCGAGAGCGGAGGUGGUGCGGACAUAAGUCGUCAUGGUUACGAUGUACCCGAGAAGAAGCACAGGAAGCAUGGAAAGAGCAAAAGUUCGGGUAAAAAGAAGAAGAAGAGGUCGAGGGACAAGUCGAUGGACAGUGUACCGACCGUAGCUUCAUCGGUGAUAAAGCCAUUGGUCGAGUAUUCGGAUGUGAGUAGCGAAGAUCUCUCUGAGCCGGAAGCGGGUGAGAUUCAAUCGGAGGAGAGUCGAGGCAAUAGUUAUACAGACAACGAAAUAAUACAGGAUUCACGUUUGUCAACGCGUUAUUAUUGCUCGACGGCGAGUCCGAGACGUCAGUUGGGGGCAUCACCGAUAAGUUUAUCACCGUCACCACCGAUACCAGUGAUAAAGCAUCGUCCUGUUCAACAACACAGACGUUAUUCGCCAGAAGGGAGUGGCGACGAUGCGUCGUUGUCUUUGUUGCCGCAAGGCUCGACUUCUCAACAGCAGUCUGAAGGGACGGCGACGACGACAUCGACGAUGACGACGACAACAGCAACGGCGACGCCGACAACGACGUCGCCGCCGAACGCGACAAGCACGAUGGCGGCGGAGACAGCAGCGACGACGGUGAUAGAUUCGUGCUCGCCGGAUUACGGGAACGAGGAAGGGAGCCGUAGGUACUCCAGACGGAAGGAAAAGAAGCACAAAAGAGAGAAGAAAAAGAAAAGGAGCACAAGUCCUGGCUCGAGUACCGGCAAAAAGAGAAAACGAAAAUCGAAGCGGGUUUCUCCGAGCCCAUCCCCACGGGAUGAGCAGCUACACCAACGAUCCACGUUGAGAGAUUCCAGCGCAAACGCUCGGCCCGAAACCGACACGACGAUAGGCAGUGCAGCGGAGAGUGUUGCCCCGAGCUGGCCGGAGUCACCACCGCUCCCGCUCAAAGACAGCACGUCACCUAUUUCACCGGCUACUCCUCACGAGGAUGAGCCCAGUAGACGUUCUCCAAGCGACAUGGAUCUCGAGUCUCCCCAGCCUCGCGACGACGAUCACGAGGCUACCCCACCACCCUCGAUAAAUUUAAUAAGUUCGAGGCAUACCGAAUCACCGCAUACGCCACUUUUACCACCCCGAACGGUAACGCCCGAGAGUACGAGCUCCAAACAUCACCAUCACCAUCACCAUUCUCAUCCUCAUCAGCAUCCUCAACAACACCAUCAGCAACAACAUCAACACCAUACGAUGACCGAUCGACGACGAACGAGUCACAGUCCUAUUCAGUCUUUGCGGCGUACCUUAAGUCCCGUUAUGACUAGUGCCUCGAGGAGAAGACCUCACAGUCCUAGUCCACCCUCCAGACGGAGAGACCACAGCCCACCGAGAAGAAGAGACUACAGUCCUGGUAGUGGAAUCAAUCGUUUGAGACACUCGCCAAGUCCGAGUGUUAUGCGACGCAGAGAAUUUAGCCCGAGCCCUGGCGGACACAGACGACGCACCUCCGAUUCCCUGACCACCGCUGUAACCAGUUCGCCGCCUAGCAGCAGCAGCAAACGGAGACGAAGGGACGAGCCUGACCGACGACACAGGCAUCAUGAAAAGGACAGAAGGGAUAAGAGAAAAUCGAGGUCGACGAGAAGUCCCGUGCCCAAUAGAUUGCCGAUGCCGUUGUCACGCUCGCGAUCUCGAAGCCCCAGCAGAUGGAGGAAAAGCGGGGCUCAGUCCCGUUCGCGGUCGCGUUCCCGACGGAGAAGUCGUACCCCCAAAAAGAACAAAUCCCGGUCACCUUUAAGCAAAUCACACAAAACGACGCGGAAGCACAAAUCCAAGAGUCCCCGACCAUCGAGAAUACCCUCCCCGUCGCCGCAGCGUUCCCGCAAUACCCGCAGUCCAACGAGCAUAACAGCUCGAAAUCUUCGUGUACAAGCCAAGAUAAGCGAGACAAGCUUGUUUGCCGAGCUCGUAAAGGAUCGAAAUAUGCGAGAACUGGCGCUCAAAAGGCUUCAAGAGGCUAAAGAAAAAGCGGGUAGUCACGACGACGUACAAAUAAUCGAAGGUACGGACGAGAAAGAUUCAUCGACUGCGCCGCGUCCGCCUCUGCCAUCGAGCCCAGACAAACUGCCGACCAACGGUCGUCAAGGCCAGCCGGCGAGCAGCAAUCAAACAUCGAAUCCUCCGGUCGAAUCAGCCGAUGCUCCGUGUGUGGAAAUCAUUGAUAUUCCUGUGCCGGUCAUAACGGUGCCUCCUCCAUCCGUCAAUCUAACCUACGAUGAGAAUUCCGUUGCCGGGAAAACGCCACCCCUGCCAACGGUCAACUCACCGGCGUCAGCGACUAUUAUUUCAAGCCUCGCCAACGUCGCAUCCAGUUUGACACCCCGAUCGAAUCAGUCGCCCAUCAUCAUUGUAAAUAAUUCACCAAUCACUGUCAACACCAAGAAUACCGUUGUUCCUGUUCAAAUAACUACUGCCAACAGCAACAGUAACAAUAGCUGCGGUACAACGCCGACGAUUACCCCUGCAAACAUUACAACUAUCGGAACAAAUAACAAUGCCCCUGCUCCUCCGUAUCACGACGGUACGAGCAUCAUCAGCGGACGAACACCACCGCCACCACUUCUGACUGAUCCAAACAGCAUGCAAACAACAACCCCGAGCAUACUCCCAAAUCUUUCAAUUCCACCUCCCACGAUCACGAGCACAUCAACCGCGAUCUCCAAAUUCAAUACACCCAACAAUUUGGUACCACUCAAAUCAAUCGAUCCACCAAAACCCCCGAUCGUUUCUUUCAAGACGAAAAGUCUCUCGAAACUACCCCUCCCACCGGGCAUCAAUCAAAACGACCUCGAAAGCAUCGAUUCGCCACCCAGUCGAUCGCCGAGCCCUCCGGCCAAAGGACAACCACCAAAAAUAACGCCUACGACACCGGCUCCUUCCAAAGUACCUUUGAAAAAAGGUAUCAAAGACUUACCAAUGCCACCAGAUUUCAGCGGGGAAGAUGACGCAACCGCGACCCCACCGAGAUCAGCGCUGGACAGAGUGACCCCUAAACCAAAGCUCAAAAGACCGAAAAUCCUCAAGAGACGAAGUUCCCGCAAUUGUCACACGCCAAUGUCCGCCUCGGGUGGAAAAGACUGGGGCGAACGAUGCGUCGACGUCUUCGAAGUCAUCGCCCAAAUUGGUGAAGGUACUUACGGCCAGGUUUACAAAGCCCAGGACAAACGGGCUUCGGUUCUUGUUGCUCUGAAAAAAGUUCGACUGGAAAACGAGAAAGAGGGAUUCCCGAUAACUGCUGUCAGGGAAAUUAAAAUACUUCGACAACUCAACCACAAAAAUAUUGUCAAUCUCCGCGAAAUUGUCACUGACAAACAGGACGCCCUGGAUUUCCGAAAGGACAAAGGUUCGUUUUAUCUGGUAUUCGAGUACAUGGAUCACGAUCUCAUGGGCCUGUUGGAAUCUGGGAUGGUCAAUUUCAACGAAAUGAACAACGCCAGCAUAAUGAAGCAGCUUUUGGACGGUCUGAAUUACUGUCAUGGAAAGAAUUUCCUCCACCGUGACAUCAAGUGUUCCAACAUAUUGAUGAACAACCGAGGGGAAGUCAAAUUGGCUGAUUUCGGUCUCGCUCGUUUGUACAACGCCGAAGACAGACAACGUCCUUACACGAACAAGGUGAUAACUCUCUGGUAUCGCCCGCCAGAACUGCUCCUUGGGGAAGAGCGUUAUGGACCGGCGAUCGACGUUUGGAGUUGUGGUUGCAUACUCGGUGAAUUGUUUUCCAAAAAGCCAUUGUUCCAGGCCAACAUAGAGAUGAUGCAGCUCGAAAUAAUAUCCCGAGUAUGCGGGACUCCGACCCCGGCGGUAUGGCCGUCGGUUAUAAAAUUGCCACUGUGGCAUACGCUCAAACCAAAAAAGUCCCACAGACGUCGCCUUAGAGAAGAUUUCUCGUUUAUACCGGCUCCCGCCCUCGAUUUGCUCGACAAAAUGCUCGAGCUUGACCCAGAAAAGCGUAUUACCGCUUCGGACGCUCUAAAAAGUGCCUGGUUGAAGAAUAUCCAGCCAGAACAAAUGCCACCCCCGCAACUACCGACAUGGCAGGAUUGUCACGAGCUGUGGAGUAAAAAAAGAAGACGUCAGUUCCGCGAAUAGCAAGAGUUAAUAGGAGGAAAAGUGCCUCUUCUGCUUCUUCUGCCCAACAAACUCGGGCCGCAAAAAGCUGCCGAUUACCUGUCUGACUUCGGGGGAUCAUCGGAGCACCUGAAAGUACAGGCGGGUUAUAAUUCUCAAGCGAAUGACGAAAUAAAAAGGCUGAAUUUGGAACUGGAGCGCGGCGGUGGUGGUGGGGAUAAAAUAUUUGGCGAGGCUGGAUCAUUCACGGUUGAAACGUCAAAGUACGCGAGCAGUCCGGUGAGGAAGGAAAAAAUAUCAAAAAGCAGCAGGCAAUCGACCGACGAGGGUGAACUUGUGCAUGAAUCAACCUCGUCGAGGAAUCCGGCGCAUCGUUUCCAAGGGAAACGAAGAGAACGAUCCGAAGCCGAAUUAUAGUUGGCAAAUCAGCACGGGGAGUUUCGUCCGCCACUCGAAAUGCCCAAUCAUCUGGACCAUCGGAUUCCGCAUCUGUGCCUCGCCUUCACUCACCGAUUGCAGAGAUGUUAUCAGCAAAAAGGAAUCGCAAGUCGUAGAUUCCGGAGGACGAUCGCUAUCGACAAUCUCAAUUCACGGGGCAGCAGCUUCGUCGACUCGCCACGUUCAUCUCCGAUUUGACGGUUCAACCAAUUUUUUGUCAUUCUUCAUUUCGUCCUUUGCCUCGCUUCGGCCGCUGGUCCAAUUUUCUUGACCGAAUGAUCCACCCAUGCAGCAAUAUUUAGAGCAUUUACACCGAUGAAUUUAAAGUUCCAAGCGGUCUCUUCAAUCGUACGUCAUUUUUCUACUAUUUGCAAUCGAUUUGUUUUUUUUUUUUUUUUUUUCAUCUAAAUAACCCGCCCGCCUAUUGUACAAAAACCACUAAUAGACCAAGAAAGAAAAUGUCGUCACUUUUCGUCGUAGUUUUAACUAUGAAAUAUAUUUAUUAUCAAUUGUACAUAAUUAUUGCUACGUCCAUGUACUCGAGAUAAAAUAAUUGUAAAAAAUCUCGAGCGGAUACAUGUAAAUAUUUGCAGGGAAACGAAAAUAAAUAUUAAUCGAAAUA
RNAcentral lists this unclassified non-coding RNA (5603 nucleotides) under Venturia canescens. RNAcentral's name for it is "cyclin-dependent kinase 12, transcript variant X2". Lineage: Eukaryota; Metazoa; Arthropoda; Insecta; Hymenoptera; Ichneumonidae. The record is from RNAcentral.